AGGUAAGCUACUAAGAGCGAAUGGUGGAUGCCUUGACUGGUAAAGGCGAUGAAGGACGUACUAGACUGCGAUAAGCUACGGGGAGCUGUCAAGAAGCUUUGAUCCGUAGAUUUCCGAAUGGGGCAACCCAAUGUAUAGAGAUAUACAUUACCUAUAUAGGAGCGAACGAGGGGAAUUGAAACAUCUUAGUACCCUCAGGAAAAGAAAUCAAUAGAGAUUGCGUCAGUAGCGGCGAGCGAAAGCGCAAGAGGGCAAACCCAGUGCUUGCACUGGGGGUUGUAGGACUGCAAUGUGCAAGAGGUAAGUUUAGCAGAACAUUCUGGAAAGUAUAACCAUAGAGGGUGAUAGUCCCGUAUGCGAAAAACAAACCUUAGCUAGCAGUAUCCUGAGUAGGGCGGGACACGAGGAAUCCUGUCUGAAUCCGGGUCGACCACGAUCCAACCCUAAAUACUAAUACCAGAUCGAUAGUGCACAAGUACCGUGAGGGAAAGGUGAAAAGAACUGAGGUGAUCAGAGUGAAAUAGAACCUGAAACCAUUUGCUUACAAUCAUUCAGAGCCCUAUGUAGCAAUACAGGGUGAUGGACUGCCUUUUGCAUAAUGAGCCUGCGAGUUGUGGUGUCUGGCAAGGUUAAGCAAACGCGAAGCCGUAGCGAAAGCGAGUCUGAAUAGGGCGCUUAGUCAGAUGCUGCAGACCCGAAACGAAGUGAUCUAUCCAUGAGCAAGUUGAAGCUAGUGUAAGAACUAGUGGAGGACUGAACCCAUAGGCGUUGAAAAGCCCCGGGAUGACUUGUGGAUAGGGGUGAAAGGCCAAUCAAACUUCGUGAUAGCUGGUUCUCUCCGAAAUAUAUUUAGGUAUAGCGUUGUGUCGUAAUAUAAGGGGGUAGAGCACUGAAUGGGCUAGGGCAUACACCAAUGUACCAAACCCUAUCAAACUCCGAAUACCUUAUAUGUAAUCACAGCAGUCAGGCGGCGAGUGAUAAAAUCCGUCGUCAAGAGGGAAACAACCCAGACUACCAGCUAAGGUCCCUAAAUCUUACUUAAGUGGAAAACGAUGUGAAGUUACUUAAACAACCAGGAGGUUGGCUUAGAAGCAGCCAUCCUUUAAAGAAAGCGUAAUAGCUCACUGGUCUAGUGAUUUUGCGCGGAAAAUAUAACGGGGCUAAAGUAAGUACCGAAGCUGUAGACUUAGUUUACUAAGUGGUAGGAGAGCGUUCUAUUUGCGUCGAAGGUAUACCGGUAAGGAGUGCUGGAGCGAAUAGAAGUGAGCAUGCAGGCAUGAGUAGCGAUAAUUAAUGUGAGAAUCAUUAACGCCGUAAACCCAAGGUUUCCUACGCGAUGCUCGUCAUCGUAGGGUUAGUCGGGUCCUAAGUCGAGUCCGAAAGGGGUAGACGAUGGCAAAUUGGUUAAUAUUCCAAUACCAACAUUAGUGUGCGAUGGAAGGACGCUUAGGGCUAAGGGGGCUAGCGGAUGGAAGUGCUAGUCUAAGGUCGUAGGAGGUUAUACAG
This 1506-nucleotide ribosomal RNA is filed under the name Campylobacter jejuni. RNAcentral's name for it is "partial 23S ribosomal RNA". It matches the Rfam family "Bacterial large subunit ribosomal RNA", at positions 1 to 1535 of the family's 2925-position model. The record is from RNAcentral. Lineage: Bacteria; Pseudomonadati; Campylobacterota; Epsilonproteobacteria; Campylobacterales; Campylobacteraceae.